Camellia sinensis is the source of this 513-nucleotide non-coding RNA. NCBI's taxonomy places the organism in Eukaryota, Viridiplantae, Streptophyta, Magnoliopsida, Ericales, Theaceae. The record is from RefSeq and is a predicted model, not a curated record.
UAUGAUAUCUUGGUGCCUCUAAUUUUUCUUUUCAUUUUCAUGCUCAACUCUCUCUCUCUCUCCAUCUGCAUCUUCUAUCUUUGUGCGACUCAGAAUCACUCCCAUCCCACCAGCAAGGGCUCAAAUAUGUAGAGCAUCAAUGUCGAAGCCACCGUUGCUCAUCUUAAUGUCGCACAGGACCACAUAGUGUCCGUCAAUCGUCCAUUGUUGCACAUUAUCGCAUGGCCACCGCUGCUCACCAUUGCCUUGACGACCACCACCGCCAUUGAUGUCACCAUCGCAAACCAGCAACCAUUCUCUUCUUAUCUCACAUUACGAUCCACCAUUGGAGCACUACCCCCAAUGAUUAUUAGUUGUCCAUGGUGCAAAUUCCAAUCUCCGACCUCAAUAUUUUCUCGCCAUUAUAUCUCUAUUUUGAACAACACCUCAUGAUCUGGAUCCCCUAUUCGAUUGCCUCCAAUCAUACAUGAUUUUCUCGAGCCUCGCAUUCUCAAUGUUAGAGUUCCACAACGA